RNAcentral lists this ribosomal RNA (455 nucleotides) under uncultured bacterium. RNAcentral's name for it is "bacterial SSU rRNA". It matches the Rfam family "Bacterial small subunit ribosomal RNA", at positions 340 to 786 of the family's 1533-position model. The record is from RNAcentral.
UACGGAAGGCAGCAGGGGGAAGUAUUGCACAAUGGGCGCAAGCCUGAUGCAGCCAUGCCGCGUGUAUGAAGAAGGCCUUCGGGUUGUAAAGUACUUUCAGUCGUGAGGAAGGUGUUAAGGUUAAUAACCUUAGCAAUUGACGUUAGCGACAGAAGAAGCACCGGCUAACUCCGUGCCAGCAGCCGCGGUAAUACGGAGGGUGCGAGCGUUAAUCGGAAUUACUGGGCGUAAAGGGCACGCAGGCGGUUAAUUAAGUUGGAUGUGAAAUCCCCGGGCUUAACCUGGGAAUGGCAUUCAAGACUGGUUUAGCUAGAGUCUUGUAGAGGGGGGUUAGAAUUCCAUGUGUAGCGGUGAAAUGCGUAGAGAUGUGGAGGAAUACCGGUGGCGAAGGCGGCCCCUGGACAAAGACUGACGCUCAUGUGCGAAAGCUGGGGAGCAAACAGGGAUUAGAUACC